GGCUGGGCGACUGCACUUACCCCGGAGGCCCGGCUGGCGGGGGUGUCCGCUUGCGCACCCACCGGGCACCCGCGGCGGAGGCGGCAGCAGGAGGAGGAGGAUCCGCUAAGCGGCGCCUCCCUCCUAGCCCGCAGCGCGCACUCGGUUCCUUCGGGGAGCCCCCGGCAGAACAGCAAAGAGGGGAGGCGAGGCAGCGACACAAGCAACAGCUGUUGUGCGGGGUUGGGCUCAAUCCGGCUCUCGGGGCCCUGGUACAGCCAGGCAGGAUUGGGAAGAAGGUUAGGCGAAGUGGGGUGCAAAGGGCGGGGCAGCGCCCGAGGCGCCAAAGGAUGCCACCGCGUGGAUGCCGCUGUCCCGGCUAAAGCCUCGGGACCCUCUUCCACGAUCGCGGGCGCUGCAACCGCGGGCGCACGGGCCUCGCCUCGCUCCCCUGCCCGCUGCUGGUGCCCUCCGUGAGCCCCGCUUUGUGCUCCCCGCAGCCGGCGUGCACCUGGUCCUGACUGAUAUAUCCCAGUGAGUUUUCCAAACAAAGAAGAGCAAUUAUUGGCCUCAAUGAAAAAGCCCAGGCAGUGCUUAUCAGCAGACGUGGCCUGAGCCAAACCCAGGAUCCUAUUUCCAAGAACACCUGUCGCUUCAUGGAUCAAAUGUAAGAGAUACGCUUUGGGAAUCCCUUCUGUUCUAAUAGCACCGUGUCUGUCAGUCGAAUUCUGUCCGCAUUCCUGGCGUGCGUUUUCCUUGGGCUGCCCGUCUAGUCGCCAAGUGGCUAAUGGUCUCAUCGCCAAGUGGCUAAUCGUCUCUUUGCUGCACGUUAUUGUCUUGCAAAUCUUUAAAAAUAUUUAUUUAACUUUCUUUUUGUUUCUGAACAGGGUGUGGAUAAAUGACAAAAAUAUGCUUCAGUUAUCACUUAAAUAUCUCUGCCGGCUUUAGCAAAGAAACUCUGGGAAAUAGUAAUCCAUGAAGGAGUCA
Choloepus didactylus (southern two-toed sloth) is the source of this 966-nucleotide long non-coding RNA. RefSeq lists it as uncharacterized. The transcript is spliced from 3 exons. The record is from RefSeq and is a predicted model, not a curated record. NCBI's taxonomy places the organism in Eukaryota, Metazoa, Chordata, Mammalia, Pilosa, Megalonychidae.